GUGGCCACAGCCUCGGCCUCCCUCUGUGGGCCCUGGAGUCCUGGUGGAGAGUGCAGACCCCCUGGGGUCCCAGGUGCGGUGGGGAUGGGGCUCCCUCCACCAUGGGUCUGGCCCACUCUAGUGCCCCAGGGACCCUGCUCCUUCCUCUUCCCAGCUGGGCUGGGCGAGGUAUCCGCCUGGAGGGGAUCGAGGUGCUGUCCCCCAACGCAGGCAUGGCGCACAUCCUGGGGUGGACGUGGGUGAGAGGAGAACCCCACGGCCCCUGCCUCCUGGAGACCACGCGGUCACGGGGACUCAUCGUGGAUUUAAGGCACACAGGGCCCCAGGGGAGAAGGUGCAUGUGGGUUGACCCCAGGGCCUAUGGAAUCCUCUCAGCCUCAUCACUGGAUGCUGCCGUUGACAGGAGGACCCUGAAGGCCUCAGCUGCAGCUCUUGGCCACUUGGCCCCAGUGUGGACACUGUCUCUGCCCUGGAGAAUGUGGAGAGGACAAGAAGGAUCAGGCCCACGGCGGAUGGGAGCCCCAGCUCUCCACCAUGCUGUGGGGAGGGGUCAGCCUGGCAGGGUCUGCUGGGGAGCUGUGGCCAGGUGGGCUCCAAGCAGGGGACUGGGUGUGUGUGGCACCCCAGGGUGCUUUCCAUCUGAGUCUCCAGCGUAAGCAGCCCCGUGGUUAUACAAGUGACUGUGGUCCAUAAACAUUCCGGGAGGUGUAUCCGUCAGUCGGCAGUUCACGGCUGCUCUGUCACCCGAGGGCGUGAGCUACUCAGGGAACAGAAACACCAACCAA
This is a long non-coding RNA of Homo sapiens (human), 785 nucleotides long. RefSeq lists it as uncharacterized. The transcript has 3 exons. NCBI's taxonomy places the organism in Eukaryota, Metazoa, Chordata, Mammalia, Primates, Hominidae. The record is from RefSeq and is a predicted model, not a curated record.